GCCAUGCACCACCUGUGUUCGUGCUCCCGAAGGCACUCCUCCCUUUCAAGAGGAUUCACGACAUGUCAAGCCUUGGUAAGGUUCUUCGCGUUGCAUCGAAUUAAACCACAUACUCCACCGCUUGUGCGGGCCCCCGUCAAUUCCUUUGAGUUUCAAUCUUGCGACCGUACUCCCCAGGCGGGGUACUUAACGCGUUAGCUACGGCACUGAUCGGGUCGAUACGACCAACACCUAGUACCCAUCGUUUACGGCUAGGACUACUGGGGUAUCUAAUCCCAUUCGCUCCCCUAGCUUUCGUACUUCAGCGUCAGUUGAGAUCCAGCAGGACGCUUUCGCCACUGGUGUUCUUCCAGAUAUCUACGCAUUUCACCGCUACACCUGGAAUUCCUCCUGCCCCUAUCUCUCUCUAGUCUCACAGUUUCCAUUGCCGAUCCAAGGUUGAGCCUCGGGCUUUGACAACAGACUUAUGAAACAGCCUACGUACGCCUCACGCCCAAUAAUUCCGGAUAACGCUUGCAUCCUCCGUCUUACCGCGGCUGCUGGCACGGAGUUAGCCGAUGCUUAUUCGUUAGGUACCGUCAUUAUCUUCCCUAACAAAAGAGGUUUACAACCCACAGGCCUUCGUCCCUCACGCGGUAUUGCUCCGUCAGGCUUUCGCCCAUUGCGGAAAAUUCCCCA
Molecule: ribosomal RNA, 678 nt
Filed under: uncultured cyanobacterium
Lineage: Bacteria; Bacillati; Cyanobacteriota
Description: partial 16S ribosomal RNA
Source: RNAcentral